GAGGAACUCGGCACUGAUUGGAGACCCUGGUGCGUCCCAAUCAACUCACAGGGCCCAACGGUCGGAACCGCCUCUGUGGUGGGCGCGCAGCCUACGCACGCGCGUACGCUCAAUCCGGGAGUCGCCUCAGGCCACUGACUGGAGACGCGGUCGAGUCCUAAGCAACUGACAAGGCCCAACGGUCAAAACCGCCUCUGUCCUGCGCCCUCACCCAAUGCACCGGCCUACUCUCUAUCUCAUUCCGGGCGUCGCCUCCGGUUGCCAGGCAACGAGGGCGCGCGCAGCAAAGAGAAGGCGGUACUGAUGGAUGAGGAAAUCCAGGUUCGGACCGACGGCGUGACUUGCUGAAGAUCUCACAGCUAACAAGAGAAAACGCAGUGAAUGGCUUAAAUAGAAUUUCAGCUUUGGGAGCUCACGAGUGAGAGGCUUCUUCCUUGAUUACCCUGGGAAGGAGGAAAUCUUCAUUUUUGGUUUGCAAGACCAUGAAAACAAGACAGUAUUUUGAUGUAUUGUGUCUGGAGCUGGUUCCUUCUGGUGGGUUCGUGGUCUCGCUGACUUCAAGAAUGAAGCCUCCGACCUUCAU
Molecule: non-coding RNA, 583 nt
Organism: Macaca mulatta (Rhesus monkey)
Lineage: Eukaryota; Metazoa; Chordata; Mammalia; Primates; Cercopithecidae
Source: RefSeq, a predicted model, not a curated record